RNAcentral lists this ribosomal RNA (460 nucleotides) under uncultured bacterium. RNAcentral's name for it is "partial 16S ribosomal RNA". It matches the Rfam family "Bacterial small subunit ribosomal RNA", at positions 338 to 795 of the family's 1533-position model. The record is from RNAcentral.
CCUACGGGUGGCAGCAGUGAGGAAUAUUGGUCAAUGGACGAGAGUCUGAACCAGCCAAGUAGCGUGAAGGAUGACUGCCCUAUGGGUUGUAAACUUCUUUUAUAUGGGAAUAAAAUGUUCCACGUGUGGGAUUUUGUAUGUACAAUAUGAAUAAGGAUCGGCUAACUCCGGGCCAGCAGCCGCGGUAAGACGGAGGAUCCGAGCGUUAUCCGGAUUUAUUGGGUUUAAAGGGAGCGUAGGUGGAUUGUUAAGUCAGUUGUGAAAGUUUGCGGCUCAACCGUAAAAUUGCAGUUGAAACUGGCAGUCUUGAGUACAGUAGAGGUGGGCGGAAUUCGUGGUGUAGCGGUGAAAUACUUAGAUAUCACGAAGAACUCCGAUUGCGAAGGCAGUUCACUGGACUGCAACUGACACUGAGGCUCGAAAGUGUGGGUAUCAAACAGGAUUAGAUACCCCAGUAGUC